UACAGAGGGUGCGAGCGUUAAUCGGAAUAACUGGGCGUAAAGGGCGCGUAGGUGGUUAUGUAAGAUCGGUGUGAAAUCCCUGGGCUUAACCUAGGAACUGCGCUGAUGACUGGAUAGCUAGAGUACUGAAGAGGGUAGUAGAAUUUCCGGUGUAGCAGUGAAAUGCGUAGAGAUCGGAAGGAAUACCAGUGGCGAAGGCGGCUACCUGGACAGAUACUGACACUGAGGCGCGAAAGCGUGGGGAGCAAACAGG
This 253-nucleotide ribosomal RNA is filed under the name uncultured bacterium. RNAcentral describes it as "partial 16S ribosomal RNA". It matches the Rfam family "Bacterial small subunit ribosomal RNA", at positions 524 to 776 of the family's 1533-position model. The record is from RNAcentral.